RNAcentral lists this small RNA (625 nucleotides) under Drosophila yakuba. Its description in RNAcentral is "GE27945". Lineage: Eukaryota; Metazoa; Arthropoda; Insecta; Diptera; Drosophilidae. The record is from RNAcentral.
UCCUCUCUCUUGUUGUCAUUUUCCUGCGCCGGUGAAAAACGCACGUUUUCCCCAUUUUCACCGACAUAAACAAAAGCUAUUUAUACACGAUCGGCCAAAUCGGAGAGGCAGCCUAAGUGCGGCAGUAGAAUUCUUUGUUUUCCGAAUCCGAAUGCGUGCAGUGGGCUGUGUGUACAUGUGGAUGUUGGCCAAAAACAAGACGGCGGCCAAUUAGAGCAGCAGCAGAAGAGGAAGCUCACGAUUUAUUGGGCAAUUGUGGCCAAGAAUCCCAAAGGGGCCACUUCACGCUUAUAAUCGAAUGCAUAGACACACCAAUGGGAUAACCACCUAGAAGGAGCAGACUAUUCAACCAUCAUGAUUCAUACCAUCACCUAUUGGUAGUCACUGAUCUGAUCUUAUCCCGAAACACGGAAACACUAAGAUAAGCCAAUUGCCAAGAAUUUGAGUGCUCAGUUGUGUCAACAACCGGAUCUGAUUGACUUGCUGCAGUAGAUGCGGCCACAAUUAAUUUGCACAACAAUGGACUGAUGCGAACAGUUGUUAGCCGAUGUCUGCCAAAAAAACGAAAAAUACAGCAAAAGGAAGGGCAGCGUCAGCAACAACAACAAUCGCCAGAGCAGCAGCA